RNAcentral lists this ribosomal RNA (490 nucleotides) under uncultured bacterium. RNAcentral's name for it is "bacterial SSU rRNA". It matches the Rfam family "Bacterial small subunit ribosomal RNA", at positions 28 to 521 of the family's 1533-position model. The record is from RNAcentral.
GAUGAACGCUGGCGGCGUGCUUAACACAUGCAAGUCGAACGGAGAAAGGGUAGCUUGCUAUCUUUUCUUAGUGGCGGACGGGUGAGUAACGCGUGGGUAACCUGCCCUUUGCAGGGGGAUAACAGUGAGAAAUCACUGCUAAUACCGCAUACCAACUUCUUUCGCAUGAAAGAAGUUUGAAAGAUUUAUCGGCAAAGGAUGGACCCGCGUUGGAUUAGCUAGUUGGUGAGAUAAUAGCCCACCAAGGCAACGAUCCAUAGCCGGCCUGAGAGGGUGAACGGCCACACUGGGACUGAGACACGGCCCAGACUCCUACGGGAGGCAGCAGUGGGGAAUAUUGCACAAUGGGCGAAAGCCUGAUGCAGCGACGCCGCGUGAAGGAUGAAGGUCUUCGGAUUGUAAACUUCUAUCAGCAGGGAAGAAAGGGCUUAUAGCCUAUGACGGUACCUGACUAAGAAGCCCCGGCUAACUACGUGCCAGCAGCCGCGGU